Molecule: ribosomal RNA, 208 nt
Filed under: uncultured bacterium
Lineage: Bacteria
Description: partial 16S ribosomal RNA
Rfam family: Bacterial small subunit ribosomal RNA
Source: RNAcentral
GGUGUAGGCGGAGCGGUAAGUACUUUGUGAAAGCCCCGGGCCUCAACUCGGGAAUUGCUGGGUAUACUGCCGUUCUUGAGGCAGGUAGGGGUGACUGGAACCUUAGGUGGAGCGGUGAAAUGCAUAGAUAUCUAAGGGAACGCCUGUGGCGAAAGCGGGUCACUGGGCCUGUCCUGACGCUGAGACCCGAAAGCGUAGGUAGCGAACG